GCAGUUGAAUCGCACGUCUC
This 20-nucleotide small nuclear RNA is filed under the name Arabidopsis thaliana (thale cress). RNAcentral describes it as "snRNA_05215". Lineage: Eukaryota; Viridiplantae; Streptophyta; Magnoliopsida; Brassicales; Brassicaceae. The record is from RNAcentral.